RNAcentral lists this unclassified non-coding RNA (300 nucleotides) under uncultured fungus. RNAcentral describes it as "sequence contains 5.8S rRNA gene, ITS2". The stretch from base 243 to 300 matches the Rfam family "Eukaryotic large subunit ribosomal RNA", at positions 1 to 58 of the family's 3401-position model. Lineage: Eukaryota; Fungi. The record is from RNAcentral.
ACACAAGGUGUAUCGUCGGCAGCGUCAGAUGUGUAUAAGAGACAGGUGAGUCAUCGAAUCUUUGAACGCAUAUGGCACCUGCCAGCCCUGCUGGAAGGUAUGCCUGUUUGAGAAUCAUAUCCACCUGAUGUUUCCGUUCACACGGAACAUCGACAUGGGCCCUCACCACUGAUCGCCCCGAAUUGCUCGCGGUUGUCCUGCUAGUCCAUUUGGCAAACUUGACAAUCACAACCCCCAUUUCAUGAUCUCAAAUCAGGCAAGGCUACCCGCUGAACUUAAGCAUAUCAAUAAGCGGAGGAC